Molecule: transfer RNA, 72 nt
Filed under: Apaloderma vittatum (bar-tailed trogon)
Lineage: Eukaryota; Metazoa; Chordata; Aves; Trogoniformes; Trogonidae
Rfam family: tRNA
About the family: Transfer RNA (tRNA) molecules are approximately 80 nucleotides in length. Their secondary structure includes four short double-helical elements and three loops (D, anti-codon, and T loops).
Source: Rfam by way of RNAcentral
GGCUGGUUAGCUCAGUCAGUUGAGCAUAGCGCUAAAAACACUAAGGUCGCGGGUUCAAUUCCCGUUCGGUCC